GGUCUCAUUUCAAAUUUAGCGGGUCGCUUAUUUCGCAGAGUAUUUGACAUAAGUACGUGGAAAAAAGAAUAAAUAAGACUAUCAGAUUGGGAGAAUCGAAUUCAAAAGUACCCACUGAACUAAUACCAUGUUAAAUCAUGUGUGACAACUAAUUUCUCCCAAAAAAAGGAAAAAAUAUUCGUGAGUUUAAGGUUUUGGAGAACAAUUAUUGUUUCACAAAUCUAUUAUCAUUCUGUAUGGCAAGAGAAUAGAGAUUUUUCUUUU
Molecule: long non-coding RNA, 264 nt
Filed under: Ananas comosus (pineapple)
Lineage: Eukaryota; Viridiplantae; Streptophyta; Magnoliopsida; Poales; Bromeliaceae
Description: long non-coding RNA (ACOM_LNC011827)
Source: RNAcentral